Molecule: long non-coding RNA, 92 nt
Organism: Corapipo altera (White-ruffed manakin)
Lineage: Eukaryota; Metazoa; Chordata; Aves; Passeriformes; Pipridae
Exons: 3
Source: RefSeq, a predicted model, not a curated record
UCUUCUGAAAGAAAUGGUAAACUUUGAAAGAAUGGUCAAUUCAGCCAUUAUGUCUGAAAGGACAAUGAAGGCAGCAGUGCUCCAGCCCUGGG